Perca flavescens (yellow perch) is the source of this 264-nucleotide long non-coding RNA. RefSeq lists it as uncharacterized. The record is from RefSeq and is a predicted model, not a curated record. Lineage: Eukaryota; Metazoa; Chordata; Actinopteri; Perciformes; Percidae. The transcript is spliced from 3 exons.
UCUGCGCUUCGGGAUCUCGACAAAGCUUCGGAACGUCAGUUUCACUUCAGCCAUCCCUACCAGGCACAAGUUCCCGUCCUUCACAGAGUGAACUGGGGCAGAUUGACGCUUGAUCCUGUACAAGGCUGGGUCCGUGUCGACAGACUGCCUCCUCGUGGUGAGACUGCAAGGGUUGACACUCUGUUACGUCGUCUCCCGGAGUGGUGUGUGCGUGCCGACCCGACCUUCCUACUUUGAGGAGAGCAGAGGUGUCAAGUAACGAAG